MicroRNA precursor from Anolis carolinensis (green anole), 93 nucleotides. The record is from Ensembl. NCBI's taxonomy places the organism in Eukaryota, Metazoa, Chordata, Lepidosauria, Squamata, Anolidae.
UGCUUGUACAGGGUAUUUGAAAAAGAAGUCCCUAGUUCCCAUUAAUUUAUACUUAAAACUAGGGAGUUCUUUUUCAAACACCCUGUAUAAAAA